UCCGGUGGCAAUAGCGGCAGAGUCACACCCGUUCCCAUUCCGAACACGGAAGUUAAGCCUGCCCGCGCCGAUGGUACUUGGGGGGAGACCCCCUGGGAGAGUAGGUCGCCGCCGGAA
This 117-nucleotide ribosomal RNA is filed under the name Acidimicrobiales bacterium. Lineage: Bacteria; Bacillati; Actinomycetota; Acidimicrobiia; Acidimicrobiales. The record is from RNAcentral.